AGGGGACUGCAGGGAGCGGGCUGACAAGAAGAACCUAACUGGAGGGGGCAGAUGGGGCAGGGUCAUCUAUGAUGAGAAAAAGGAGCUUCUGCUCAGACAUCACUGGGUCAUUUUCUCGAGAGGGUAGACAGAGUUGAAUCCACCAAAAAACCUGUGCCAUCAGCAUCAGGUGUGAGGGAAAGUCCAUCUCGCCCUCCAUUUCCGAUCGCGGAUGAUCCUUUAUCUGCACCGUCUCUGGGAACCCCUCCCGUCUCCAGUGAGUAACUGUCGUACUGUACUCGGAGCACACAGCAGCACAACCGUGCCAGAGUCUGGCAGACACCGAGCUACUUCCAGGGCAGAUUUGCAUCUAUGAAUGUUGAGGGAAGUGCAGACACGUCUGUGAUGUGUAGCUCCUCCCGUCUGUGGGCACAAGAACCUGCAUGUUGGAGGAAGAGGAGAACUUAGACACACCCUGAGUCAUCUCCGUGCACACAGGAGCUGGAGGCGCAGAGAGGAACCAGCUCCAGCCUGGCUGAGAUGUCUUUGUACUCCAAGAUCAGCUGUGGACUCACAACCCUUUGAUGAUGGAGCCACUUCCCCGCAGGAAAACACCAGCACCUACAAUCCAUGCAGGCCUCAGCUCCUGGCCCCCCUUCCAUGGCCUCUCUCCCAGUUCUGAGAGAGGGCCCCCUGAAUUCCCACAGUUGACUUGGAGCUUGAAAUCUGGUCCCAAUGAUAUUUCUGGAAGGUGCCAUGGCUCCAGUGAAAGAAGCUACUUCCGGGCCUGGGGAUUUAGCUCAGCGGCAAAGCGCCUGCCUGGCAAGCGCAAGGUCGUGAGUUCGGUUCCCGGUACCAGAGAAAAACCAAAAAAAAAAAAAAAAAACAACAAAAAAAAACAAAAACAGAAAGAAGCUACUUCCAUGUCAGGUUAGACUCAUUUUUUUCCCGCUGAGUGUGAAACCUUGGCUAUGGCUGUUAACUCUACUGGCCUCAUUUCUUUAUUUGUUAAGUCAAGAUCACAAUGCCCGACAUGCAGGGGUUUCAGAAGGAUUAAAU
This 1038-nucleotide long non-coding RNA is filed under the name Chinchilla lanigera (long-tailed chinchilla). RNAcentral describes it as "lncRNA (ENSCLAG00000023743.1)". Lineage: Eukaryota; Metazoa; Chordata; Mammalia; Rodentia; Chinchillidae. The record is from RNAcentral.